CGGGGUGAGUAACGCGUGGAUAACCUGCCUCAUACAGGGGGAUAACAGUUAGAAAUGACUGCUAAUACCGCAUAAGCACACGGGAGCGCAUGCUUCCGGGUGAAAAGCUCCGGCGGUAUGAGAUGGAUCCGCGUCUGAUUAGCUGGUUGGCGGGGUAACGGCCCACCAAGGCGACGAUCAGUAGCCGACCUGAGAGGGUGGCCGGCCACAUUGGGACUGAGACACGGCCCAAACUCCUACGGAAGGCAGCAG
RNAcentral lists this ribosomal RNA (252 nucleotides) under uncultured bacterium. Its description in RNAcentral is "partial 16S ribosomal RNA". It matches the Rfam family "Bacterial small subunit ribosomal RNA", at positions 100 to 354 of the family's 1533-position model. The record is from RNAcentral.